Molecule: ribosomal RNA, 967 nt
Filed under: Microbacterium testaceum
Lineage: Bacteria; Bacillati; Actinomycetota; Actinomycetes; Micrococcales; Microbacteriaceae
Description: bacterial SSU rRNA
Rfam family: Bacterial small subunit ribosomal RNA
Source: RNAcentral
AUGCAGCUCGUACGGUGAAGCCAAGCUUGCUUGGUGGAUCAGUGGCGAACGGGUGAGUAACACGUGAGCAACCUGCCCUGGACUCUGGGAUAAGCGCUGGAAACGGCGUCUAAUACUGGAUAUGAGACGUGAUCGCAUGGUCGUGUUUGGAAAGAUUUUUCGGUCUGGGAUGGGCUCGCGGCCUAUCAGCUUGUUGGUGAGGUAAUGGCUCACCAAGGCGUCGACGGGUAGCCGGCCUGAGAGGGUGACCGGCCACACUGGGACUGAGACACGGCCCAGACUCCUACGGGAGGCAGCAGUGGGGAAUAUUGCACAAUGGGCGGAAGCCUGAUGCAGCAACGCCGCGUGAGGGAUGACGGCCUUCGGGUUGUAAACCUCUUUUAGCAGGGAAGAAGCGAAAGUGACGGUACCUGCAGAAAAAGCGCCGGCUAACUACGUGCCAGCAGCCGCGGUAAUACGUAGGGCGCAAGCGUUAUCCGGAAUUAUUGGGCGUAAAGAGCUCGUAGGCGGUUUGUCGCGUCUGCUGUGAAAUCCCGAGGCUCAACCUCGGGCCUGCAGUGGGUACGGGCAGACUAGAGUGCGGUAGGGGAGAUUGGAAUUCCUGGUGUAGCGGUGGAAUGCGCAGAUAUCAGGAGGAACACCGAUGGCGAAGGCAGAUCUCUGGGCCGUAACUGACGCUGAGGAGCGAAAGGGUGGGGAGCAAACAGGCUUAGAUACCCUGGUAGUCCACCCCGUAAACGUUGGGAACUAGUUGUGGGGACCAUUCCACGGUUUCCGUGACGCAGCUAACGCAUUAAGUUCCCCGCCUGGGGAGUACGGCCGCAAGGCUAAAACUCAAAGGAAUUGACGGGGACCCGCACAAGCGGCGGAGCAUGCGGAUUAAUUCGAUGCAACGCGAAGAACCUUACCAAGGCUUGACAUAUACGAGAACGGGCCAGAAUGGUCAACUCUUUGGACACUCGUAAAC